AGUUGAUUCCUAGAGGUGGAAUCCAUUAAACUGACAAAGCCCCAGUCCCGGGGUCCUAAUAGUCGGGACUAUUAGGUCAUCCUGGGUACUCAGGCCUCUAGACUCUAGACUGAGCUGCCUUGGUCACUCGGGGACAGUUGGCAGAGUAUUCGUGGUCAGGGAGGUGACCCGUGGUCAGCAGGAUCAGGCCACCCAGGGACAAAGGGUGCUUCUGCGCCAGGCCCUGGAGAAGGACAGAGCGGUGGGGACUCGGGGUCGGCCGCAGAUAGGGGAGUCACCACCUGCCGGGUAAGAGCCAUGACUGCCUUUGCACUGUCCAUGCUCUCAGCCCACCACCUCCUCCCCCUGCCAUUGCAGUGGCUAACACUGGAGACGAAGACCAAGACACCACCGCCUUUCUCCAGUACCACUCAAAUCAGCACAGGCAAGGACAAAGGCCUCAAUCCACAACUGCUGAAGAUGGACCCUGGCCACAUGGGAUGGUCAGACACGCCUGCCCAGCUAUCUGCAGGCGAAGAGGCUCAGAAGAGGUUUAGGGGCCUGAAGGACAUCUUGCUUCCAUGUCCAUAUGAGCAGGCUAUUUCUGCUCCAUGAGUCAAUUUUGCCAUAUAAAAUACUUAAUUUCAGCCAUUCCAGGGUGCUGUAGGAUGCACAGCUUCCCAUCAGCCCACCUGAACUCCAGCCAUGCCAUUUUAAUACCAGGAAUAAGGUCACCUGCUUUCCUGCCCCUUAGGAGGCCAGAGCCGUGGAAGCAAAAUGGCACUUCUGUUUACCUGUUAUAUUAUUUUUUUGUCAUCCUUAUAUGCUUGGAAAAUGCAAUUAUAUGAAAAAAGUUUAGUAAUUACAGACAUAACAGCAGAAAGUCCUCGGAACCAAGCUUACUCUCAUGGCCGAUUCUGCUCCACCUGGGACUCUGCUGUGCUGCGGGCAUCCUGUGGUCAGAAUCGCAGAGGGGCCAUCAGGGAGGGCCUUCCCAGAGGAUGGACCUCACGUGACUGCUGCGUGGGCAAGUGGCACUGGCCACUCUGCCUGGAGAGAGGAGUAAAUGCAGGGCUGGCCAGGCGACCUGCACACUCUGCUAC
RNAcentral lists this long non-coding RNA (1082 nucleotides) under Homo sapiens (human). RNAcentral describes it as "HSALNT0399384". Lineage: Eukaryota; Metazoa; Chordata; Mammalia; Primates; Hominidae. The record is from RNAcentral.